Molecule: long non-coding RNA, 799 nt
Organism: Choloepus didactylus (southern two-toed sloth)
Lineage: Eukaryota; Metazoa; Chordata; Mammalia; Pilosa; Megalonychidae
Exons: 4
Source: RefSeq, a predicted model, not a curated record
CAGAAGGUACAGACUUUAGGAAUAAAAGAGUGGUCUUGCUGAGCCUUGAUUUUAGACUUCUAGUCUUCUAAAAUCGUGAGGCGAUAAAUUAUUGUUUAAGCCAAAAGAGAAAGAGAGCGCACGAGAGAGCUAGCGAGUGAUAGGCAGCGAGUGCGUCCUCAAGAGUGAAUGCCUGGAACCAGUUCUUCAGAGGGUUCGGCUACUGUCCUGGAGUCCAUGAGGCAAGAAACCAGAGGCAUAGAGAGGCUAGUUAUUGCAAGGGCACGCGGAGAGUAAAUGUUGGAUCAAACUGAGUCCUUCAGGACCAAACCCCUGAAUUUUCAAAUAUUGACCUGCUGCAUGGCCACUUGCCUGGUGGAAAUUGGCCCCACCCACCCCUCCAAUGCUGGACCAAAAUGGUCUAAUGGGAUUACCAGGUUUAGGAAUGAGCAUGGCACACAAAUGGACACAACUGGAAGUUGGCUGGGGUGAUUUUGGGAAAAGUUUGCAGGCUCUUAAAAGAGAGUUCCAUGAGAAACGAACUUCUUCUUCCUUUGGACAUCAUUUUGUCUGGAUGUGAUAUGAUAUGAACAUUGAAGAAGCAGUUACUAUCAGCCUGAGGGAAAAAGCACAUAUGAGAAUGGCAAAGGAAUGGAAAGAAGAUGGGCUCCUGAUGAUGUCACCAAGUCAAUGACUCAGCCAACCUUGAGGACAUCCUGUUGCAUGGAUAACAGAGGCCAUGUCAUGAUCAUUAGAGAUCUGGCUUUUCACAGAAAGAACACCUUGAAGUUCUUGGCCACAGAGAAUUGGACGAAAGAAU